CAGGUCGCCGGCGGCGGCCGCACUGAGAAGCCCAUGCUGAAGGCCGGCCGCAGCUACUGGAAGUACAAGGCCAAGCGCAACAGCUGGCCUAAGGUGCGUCUGCGCUUGCGGGGGCUGUUGGUACUUGUGGCGCUUGGGCAGCGUCUUGGGGAUGAGGCAAACAUGUGCGCUAGGUGCAGAGAUUUGGGGGCGGGGUUUUGGGGGCGGAGUACAGCUUUAGAGGGCCGGCGACUUGCUCUCUGUAUGGUGCAUCAUGGCGUGCCGUUUGCGGUUUGAUCUGGAAGCGCAUGCCUCCUGACCUCUUCCCCCUGCCCCUGCCCUCCACGCUCCUCCCUCCCCCCUGCACAGGUGCGUGGUGUGGCCAUGAACCCCGUGGAGCACCCCCACGGUGGUGGUAACCACCAGCACAUUGGCCACGCCUCGACCGUCCGCCGGUCGGCGCCCCCCGGCCAGAAGGUCGGUCUCAUUGCCGCCCGCCGCACUGGUCGCCUCCGCGGCACCAACGUCAUCAAGGGCGCCGCCCAGAACGAGUAAGCGCUCGGUCGUCGUGGCACGGCUGGCCUUGGUGUCGGCGGAUGAGGAGGCAUGGACCGGGCGGGGGCGGCGCCGCCGCCACUGCCGCCGCGGUGGCGGCGGCUGCGGCGCUGCAGCGACGCGGCGCGGCCGUCUGGUGCG
RNAcentral lists this long non-coding RNA (675 nucleotides) under Chlamydomonas reinhardtii. RNAcentral's name for it is "long non-coding RNA (CREI_LNC001026)". The record is from RNAcentral. Lineage: Eukaryota; Viridiplantae; Chlorophyta; Chlorophyceae; Chlamydomonadales; Chlamydomonadaceae.